Molecule: ribosomal RNA, 484 nt
Filed under: uncultured bacterium
Lineage: Bacteria
Description: partial 16S ribosomal RNA
Rfam family: Bacterial small subunit ribosomal RNA
Source: RNAcentral
AUUGAACGCUAGCGGGAUGCUUUACACAUGCAAGUCGAACGGCAGCGCGGACUUCGGUCUGGCGGCGCGUGGCGAACGGGUGAGUAAUGUAUCGGAACGUGCCCAGUAGCGGGGGAUAACUACGCGAAAGCGUAGCUAAUACAGCAUACGCCAUACGGGGGAAAGCAAGGGAUCGUAAGACCUUGAACUAUUGGCGCGGCCGAUAUCGGAUUAGCUAGUUGGUGUGGUAACGGCUCACCAAGGCGACGAACCGUAGCUGGCUUGAGAGGCCGACCAGCCACACUGGGACUGAGACACGGUCCAGACUCCUACGGGAGGCAGCAGUGGGGAAUUUUGGACAAUGGGGGCAACCCUGAUCCAGCCAUCCCGCGUGUGCGAUGAAGGCCUUCGGGUUGUAAAGCACUUUUGUCAGGAAAGAAACGUCGCGGGCUAAUACCCCGUGGAACUGACGGUACCUGCAGAAUAAGCACCGGCUAACUACGUG